Molecule: ribosomal RNA, 425 nt
Filed under: uncultured bacterium
Lineage: Bacteria
Description: partial 16S ribosomal RNA
Rfam family: Bacterial small subunit ribosomal RNA
Source: RNAcentral
GUGGGGAAUCUUAGACAAUGGGGGAAACCCUGAUCUAGCCAUGCCGCGUGAGCGAUGAAGGCCUUAGGGUUGUAAAGCUCUUUCAGCUGGGAAGAUAAUGACGGUACCAGCAGAAGAAGCCCCGGCUAACUCCGUGCCAGCAGCCGCGGUAAUACGGAGGGGGCUAGCGUUGUUCGGAAUUACUGGGCGUAAAGCGCGCGUAGGCGGACCAGAAAGUUGGAGGUGAAAUCCCAGGGCUCAACCGUGGAACUGCCUUCAAAACUCCUGGUCUGGAGUUCGAGAGAGGUGAGUGGAAUUCCGAGUGUAGAGGUGAAAUUCGUAGAUAUUCGGAGGAACACCAGUGGCGAAGGCGGCUCACUGGCUCGAUACUGACGCUGAGGUGCGAAAGCGUGGGGAGCAAACAGGAUUAGAUACCCGGGUAGUCC